This 253-nucleotide ribosomal RNA is filed under the name uncultured bacterium. RNAcentral's name for it is "partial 16S ribosomal RNA". It matches the Rfam family "Bacterial small subunit ribosomal RNA", at positions 524 to 776 of the family's 1533-position model. The record is from RNAcentral.
UACGGAGGGUGCAAGCGUUAUCCGGAAUCAUUGGGUUUAAAGGGUCCGCAGGCGGACUAAUAAGUCAGUGGUGAAAUCUCUCGGCUCAACCGAGAAACUGCCAUUGAUACUGUUAUUCUUGAAUUCGAUCGAAGUGGGCGGAAUGUGACAUGUAGCGGUGAAAUGCUUAGAUAUGACACAGAACACCGAUUGCGAAGGCAGCUCGCUAAACUGAUAUUGACGCUGAGGCACGAAAGCGUGGGGAUCAAACAGG